RNAcentral lists this unclassified non-coding RNA (364 nucleotides) under uncultured bacterium. RNAcentral describes it as "contains 16S-23S intergenic spacer region". The record is from RNAcentral.
UCCUCGUUAACCGAGGCAGUCUCGCGUGAAAAAUCCAACACGCGACGGGGGUUGCGCUCGUUGCGGGACUUAACCCAACAUCUCACGACACGAGCUGACGACGACCAUGCAGCACCUGUCUAGCACCCUCGAAGGCUCCCCCGGUUUCCCGGGGGAUGCAGCUAGAUGUCAAGCCCUGGUAAGGUUCUUCGCUUAGCGUCGAAUUAAACCACACGCUCCACCGCUUGUGCGGGUCCCCGUCAAUUCCUUUGAGUUUUAGCCUUGCGGCCGUACUCCCCAGGCGGGGUGCUUAACGCGUUAGCUUCGACACCCAGGGGGUCUAAGCCCCGGAUGCCUAGCACCCAUCGUUUACGGCGUGGACUAC